GUUUAUUAUAAAGUGAAAAAGAAAAAACAUCCCUUGAAAGCACAAGAUGCAGACUAAGGGCACAAAACUAAAAAGCGAAGGAGAACAACUCAAAAAGGAAAGUCAGGAUCAUUAUCCAAAUCAUCCGACCAACGCCUAUGGACGACAUUAUUCAUUGCAAUCAUACUAGGCCUAUUGGUGACGUCAACCACAAACUCCGUCGGCUUGUUACCCAUUUCUUCCGCAUUCCUGAGACGACUUUUAAUACAACCUUCCGGAAUUGCAUGUAUAGGCUCUCGUCCCUUUACCGAGCCCUUUGGACGACCACGUCCGCGCUUCUGCUCCGAGAGCAACUGCAUCCCUUGAUUAACUUGCUUCUCUAACCUAAUAAUACGACUCGCCAUGUCAUCCGUAGAAGAAAUGGAUUUAUUAUCAAAAUCAACUUCCUUAAUCGGCGAAUUAACCCGCUGGCUCGCUGAAUCUUCUGCCCCAACUACCAGUUGUUGCUCUACCACAGCUCCACUAUUCGUUCCAGAAUCCAACUCCAAAGUUCCCUCUACAUUCGAGCCCUCCUUAUCACUAGCCUUGUCCGUGUGAGGCGACCCAUCAUUUUCUUCCUCAUGUAAAGGCUCUGCUUCAUAAUUGGAAUCCGCAAUGAUAGUCUCCUCCACUUCCUCUUCCUCAUCCUCAUCUAGCGCUUGAUAUCGGUUAGCAUCCCCCGCCAGAGGGAGAUCAUUUUCUUAAAAGGUACUGUAGCCGCGUCUAGAAGAUCAGGACCUGAUAGAGGUUUAAGAAUAUCAACUUUGGGCUGCCAUGCAGGAGUCGGACCCUCUCCCUUAUCAAGAUUCUUCACAACCACAGCAGGAGGCUCAGUGAUCUUUUGCUUGCUCGUGACCCUAUCAGCUCUCCGGCAUUUAUCCGUUGAAUGACCUGUAAGUUUACAACGCGAGCAAAAAAGGGGCAUAGAUUCAAAACCAAACUCAAUGUAGAACGAUCUAUCGCCGUCAUCAAUGUACAUCGAGUUGAGAAUAGGCAAAGCCAUGUCAAGUUCCAC
Molecule: long non-coding RNA, 1033 nt
Filed under: Salvia miltiorrhiza (redroot sage)
Lineage: Eukaryota; Viridiplantae; Streptophyta; Magnoliopsida; Lamiales; Lamiaceae
Description: long non-coding RNA (SMIL_LNC010595)
Source: RNAcentral